UUACGACCAUAUCAUGUCGAAACACAAGUUCUUGUAUGAUCACCGAAGUUAAGCAAAAUUGAGCCUGAUCAGUAUCUAGAUGGGUGAUCUCUUUGGGAUACCAG
This is a non-coding RNA of Acanthosepion pharaonis, 104 nucleotides long. The record is from the annotation of a GenBank genome assembly. Lineage: Eukaryota; Metazoa; Mollusca; Cephalopoda; Sepiida; Sepiidae.